AACAUGGCAAUAACACGUUGUACAAUUAGCUAUGUGAAGUGUACUACAAACUUGGCUUUAUUAUUGGACGUCAUUUUUUUGUUAUUUUCCUGUUGACACGCGUAUUUGCACUCAAAGCAACUCACCAGCUAACAGGGAUCUUUGAAGUUCACUUUCUUCUUCAUUGACUCUUUCAAAUUAAAGUUUGUUAAUUGUAUUUGCUGGCGCUGCCGAACAUAUUUUAAUUUCAAGAGCUUAUAUCACAAUAAUGUUAUUACUUUGUAACAUUAAGGUAAUCAACUGUGUCCAACAAAGUACAGCAAAAUCAACCCAACAUUUCAGACUCAUACAAAGAUCAGUUGAACUGCUGCAACCUUUGGUGGUAAGUGAAUGAUAUCAUAUAUAAAUAUUUUUAGCUAUGCAAGAAGGAAAAAGCCAAUGGACUGGAUUUUUUUUAAUCUUCUAAGCACCACAAUGCCCUUCCUUGCUUGAACUCUUGAUGUUGUGAUUGGUUUGUCAGAGAAGGAGAUCUUUUAGGAAUCUUGCAUUGUUUACUAUACUCACUUAGUUCUCUAUCUGCAAGGUAUAUGUUAGUUCCUAUUUUUGGGUUUUAAUUAAUUUGUUUGUUCUUUUUAGUAGUUUCUUGUGGAUUUCUGAUUAUCCUAUAUGCAUGCAAAUGAUUUUAUUGUGAUUUGUGCAUACAUAUUUGAAGAUACAUAGGUGCAAUAAAGUUUAGUUAUAUCAUCAUGUUCUUUAGAUGAUAUCAUUGCAGUGGUGUGACAGUAAUUCUUGGAUGAUACUGAUUAAAGUGGUGUUGUAGUUGCAAUUGGAAUAAAAUUCAAUUUAAUAAUUUCUGACAAUCACUUUCUUUAACGCUUUCACCUUCUAACGUGUGAACUAUAAGAAUAGACACGUGUAGUGCCUUUUUUCACAACUAUUCUUUCAAUGUCGACACAAAAAUUGACUUCAAACUGCUCUUCUCUUAAAAUUUCAUUUCUCUCAGGCUCUUUUAGAGGUAAGUAUAUCUUUCCAUUCAAUGUAUUUGCAUCUAUGUAUAUGAAUGUUAAGUUUGACCCAGCAUAAACAAUUUUGAUAAUCAAUAAGGUGUUCUUAUCGUGAUAGAUUAUUAGUAGAAUUGUUAAGUUUAAGUUGCAAGGGUUAAUUCGUCAUUUGGUAAAUCCUUCUAUUUAGAGGUGUAAUUUUUUUAAUUUUAUUUCUACGAGCAUCUCUAGAAGAAGAACUAGAGGAAGCGGUAAGAUGUUAAUGGAUUUUUUAUCGAUUGUUGAAAUAUUGGAGUAAAAAGUACGAGUUAAUGGAUUUUUUAUCGAUUGUUGAAAUAUUGGAGUAAGAAGUACUACCUUUUUGUAGAGUUGUUGAUAAACUACUUACCGAUUUCUUAUUUGAUGAAUUUGUUUGAAUAAACUGAUUUAUGUAGCGGUAGGAGUUGCAACUUUCUUUACUUUAUUUCUGCAAGGAACUGGAUGAUGUUUUAUUGUCGAAUACCACUUAACCAUAAGGAGAGAGACAUCAACCACUUGACUCUAAUGAGAUGAAUAUAGCAGAAAAAGUAGUUCAAAAGAAGCCACAAAUUUAAAUAGAAAGAAUAGUCAAUGUCAAUUAGAGACAACUUUGUUGAAAUCUUCCUUUCGAAACAUACCGUCAUAUAUGAAUUAUGUUACUAUGAAUCUAUGUAUUUGUCAACCUUCUGAUGAAGGCAUAUAGUAUCUCUCAUAUAAUUUGCUAAUAACUUUUGGAACUAUCAAGAUUGUUCUUUUAAAAUGGAUUAUUGCAAGUUUUCUUAUAUAAUCUAUAAUAGUUCUGCUCAAGAGGAGGAAAGCCAGAAUAUUUUACAAUAUAAUUGACUCUGCCUAACCUUAGGUUGUGGUCAUCUCACCCCCUGAUGAUGUUGUGGAUGCGGGACAUUAGUUGUAUUGUUGUGAGCAAGUACAUAAAGAUUUUCUUUA
This is a long non-coding RNA of Solanum pennellii, 1943 nucleotides long. RefSeq lists it as uncharacterized. Lineage: Eukaryota; Viridiplantae; Streptophyta; Magnoliopsida; Solanales; Solanaceae. The record is from RefSeq and is a predicted model, not a curated record. The transcript is spliced from 2 exons.